RNAcentral lists this ribosomal RNA (1388 nucleotides) under Apilactobacillus sp. Its description in RNAcentral is "bacterial SSU rRNA". It matches the Rfam family "Bacterial small subunit ribosomal RNA". Lineage: Bacteria; Bacillati; Bacillota; Bacilli; Lactobacillales; Lactobacillaceae. The record is from RNAcentral.
UUUUAUGCUUGCAUAAAUGAUUUUUGGAUUCGGAGCGAGUGGCGAACUGGUGAGUAACACGUGGGUAACCUGCCCCGAAGCGGGGGAUAACAUUUGGAAACAAGUGCUAAUACCGCAUAAUUAGUUGGAACCGCAUGGUUCCAACUUGAAAGAUGGCUCUGCUAUCACUUUGGGAUGGACCCGCGCCGUAUUAGUUAGUUGGUGAGAUAAAAGCCCACCAAGACGAUGAUACGUAGCCGACCUGAGAGGGUAAUCGGCCACAUUGGGACUGAGACACGGCCCAGACUCCUACGGGAGGCAGCAGUAGGGAAUCUUCCACAAUGGACGAAAGUCUGAUGGAGCAACGCCGCGUGAGUGAUGAAGGUUUUCGGAUCGUAAAACUCUGUUGUUAAAGAAGAACAAGUGUUAGAGUAACUGUUAACACUUUGACGGUAUUUAACCAGAAAGCCACGGCUAACUACGUGCCAGCAGCCGCGGUAAUACGUAGGUGGCAAGCGUUGUCCGGAUUUAUUGGGCGUAAAGCGAGCGCAGGCGGUUUUGUAAGUCUGCUGUGAAAGCCCUCAGCUCAACUGAGGAAGUGCAGUGGAAACUACAAAACUUGAGUACAGAAGAGGAAAGUGGAACUCCAUGUGUAGCGGUGAAAUGCGUAGAUAUAUGGAAGAACACCAGUGGCGAAGGCGGCUUUCUGGUCUGUUACUGACGCUGAGGCUCGAAAGCAUGGGUAGCGAACAGGAUUAGAUACCCUGGUAGUCCAUGCCGUAAACGAUGAAUACUAGGUGUUUGGAAGGGUUUCCGCCCUUCAGUGCCGCAGCUAACGCAUUAAGUAUUCCGCCUGGGGGAGUACGACCGCAAGGUUGAAACUCAAAGGAAUUGACGGGGGCCCGCACAAGUGGUGGAGCAUGUGGUUUAAUUCGAUGCUACGCGAAGAACCUUACCAGCUCUUGACAUCUUCUGCCAACCCAAGAGAUUGGGCGUUCCCUUCGGGGACAGAAUGACAGGUGGUGCAUGGUUGUCGUCAGCUCGUGUCGUGAGAUGUUGGGUUAAGUCCCGCAACGAGCGCAACCCUUAUUAUUAGUUGCCAGCAUUUAGUUGGGCACUCUAGUGAGACUGCCGGUGAUAAACCGGAGGAAGGUGGGGACGACGUCAAAUCAUCAUGCCCCUUAUGAGCUGGGCUACACACGUGCUACAAUGGAUGGUACAACGAGUCGCGAAACCGCGAGGUCAAGCUAAUCUCUUAAAGCCAUUCUCAGUUCGGAUUGCAGGCUGCAACUCGCCUGCAUGAAGUUGGAAUCACUAGUAAUCGUGGAUCAGCAUGCCACGGUGAAUACGUUCCCGGGCCUUGUACACACCGCCCGUCACACCAUGAGAGUUUGUAACACCCAAAGACG